RNAcentral lists this ribosomal RNA (250 nucleotides) under uncultured prokaryote. RNAcentral's name for it is "partial 16S ribosomal RNA". It matches the Rfam family "Bacterial small subunit ribosomal RNA", at positions 524 to 773 of the family's 1533-position model. The record is from RNAcentral.
UACGUAGGGGGCAAGCGUUAUCCGGAUUUACUGGGUGUAAAGGGAGCGUAGACGGCAAUGCAAGUCUGAAGUGAAGGCUCGCAGCUCAACUGCGGAACUGCUUUGGAAACUGUAUAGCUUGAGUACCGGAGGGGUGAGCGGAAUUCCUAGUGUAGCGGUGAAAUGCGUAGAUAUUAGGAGGAACACCGGUGGCGAAGGCGGCUCACUGGACGGUAACUGACGUUGAGGCUCGAAAGCGUGGGGAGCAAAC